This 689-nucleotide ribosomal RNA is filed under the name Pasteurellaceae bacterium I45. Its description in RNAcentral is "bacterial SSU rRNA". It matches the Rfam family "Bacterial small subunit ribosomal RNA", at positions 48 to 726 of the family's 1533-position model. Lineage: Bacteria; Pseudomonadati; Pseudomonadota; Gammaproteobacteria; Pasteurellales; Pasteurellaceae. The record is from RNAcentral.
CUUACACAUGCAACUCGAACGGUAGCACAUAGGAGUUUGCUCCUUGGGUGACGAGUGGCGGACGGGUGAGUAAUGCUUGGGAAUCUGGCUUAUGGAGGGGGAUAACUACUGGAAACGGUAGCUAAUACCGCGUAAUGUCUUAGGACUAAAGGGUGGGACCAUUUGGCCACCUGCCAUAAGAUGAGCCCAAGUGGGAUUAGGUAGUUGGUGAGGUAAAGGCUCACCAAGCCCGCGAUCUCUAGCUGGUCUGAGAGGAUGACCAGCCACACUGGAACUGAGACACGGUCCAGACUCCUACGGGAGGCAGCAGUGGGGAAUAUUGCACAAUGGGGGGAACCCUGAUGCAGCCAUGCCGCGUGAAUGAAGAAGGCCUUCGGGUUGUAAAGUUCUUUCGGUGACGAGGAAGGCGAUUGUUUUAAUAGAACAGUCGAUUGACGUUAAUCACAGAAGAAGCACCGGCUAACUCCGUGCCAGCAGCCGCGGUAAUACGGGGGGUGCGAGCGUUAAUCGGAAUAACUGGGCGUAAAGGGCACGCAGGCGGUUGUUUAAGUGAGGUGUGAAAGCCCCGGGCUUAACCUGGGAAUUGCAUUUCAGACUGAACAACUAGAGUACUUUAGGGAGGGGUAGAAUUCCACGUGUAGCGGUGAAAUGCGUAGAGAUGUGGAGGAAUACCGAAGGCGAAGGCAGCC